This 50-nucleotide unclassified non-coding RNA is filed under the name Sorangium cellulosum So ce56. Lineage: Bacteria; Pseudomonadati; Myxococcota; Polyangiales; Polyangiaceae. The record is from RNAcentral.
CCGGACUACCCUUCGUCGGCUCGAUGACGGGGACCGCGCAGCCGAACUAC